Molecule: ribosomal RNA, 433 nt
Filed under: uncultured bacterium
Lineage: Bacteria
Description: partial 16S ribosomal RNA
Rfam family: Bacterial small subunit ribosomal RNA
Source: RNAcentral
AACGAACGCUGGCGGCAUGCCUAACACAUGCAAGUCGAACGAGACCUUCGGGUCUAGUGGCGCACGGGUGCGUAACGUGUGGGAACCUGCCCUUAGGUUCGGAAUAACUCCCCGAAAGGGGUGCUAAUACCGGAUAAUGUCUUCGGACCAAAGAUUUAUCGCCUUUGGAUGGGCCCGCGUUGGAUUAGCUAGUUGGUAGGGUAAAAGCCUGCCAAGGCGACGAUCCAUAGCUGGUCUGAGAGGAUGAUCAGCCACACUGGGACUGAGACACGGCCCAGACUCCUACGGGAGGCAGCAGUGGGGAAUAUUGGACAAUGGGCGAAAGCCUGAUCCAGCAAUGCCGCGUGAGUGAUGAAGGCCUUAGGGUUGUAAAGCUCUUUUACCCGGGAUGAUAAUGACAGUACCGGGAGAAUAAGCUCCGGCUAACUCCGUG